This 244-nucleotide ribosomal RNA is filed under the name Pneumocystis sp. G28. Its description in RNAcentral is "partial large subunit ribosomal RNA". It matches the Rfam family "Bacterial large subunit ribosomal RNA", at positions 849 to 1075 of the family's 2925-position model. The record is from RNAcentral. Lineage: Eukaryota; Fungi; Ascomycota; Pneumocystomycetes; Pneumocystales; Pneumocystaceae.
CUGGUUUUCUGCGAAAUCUGUUUUAGCAGACUGUUUAAAAUUGAAUUAUUAAUAGGUAUAGCACUGGAUGUCUCAUUUAAAGUUUGUAGGGAAUACGGAAGUAUUUUCCUUAGAUAUUUAAUCUCAGAAUGAUUAAUAAGGAUGUUAAAUAGUCGGACUUCUUGCGAUAAGGUGGGAGGUCGAGAGGGAAACAGCCCAGAAUAGUGAUUAAAGCUCCCCAAUUAAUAUUAAGUGAGAAUUCCCA